GGAAGACUGGGUCUCGGAGAGCAGGCGGUAUAUAGUAUCCGGAUCUCGGUACGCUGGCUCUACAUAGUACCAUGGUGUGCGUCCUUGGACCUCGCAGGUCACCAGUGUGUCAGAGCAGAGUGCCCAGGGGGCUUUUUAUGGAGAAGUUUGAAUAAAGGCCAUAAAACAUCUCUCCCCACAGAGUCUGAAUCAGAAACAGUAAUUCCUUAUCCCCAGCUUGCUGCUCAGUUCUAGAGGUUAAAAGCAGCUGGCAGUGCUGCAAAUUUACUGGACCUGUGACCAGUGCAGACUGUGGGAUAAGCAGCUGAAUAGUGAGUCCUGGAAAACCAGGGGCCAGAACCACACGGUGGGCAACUUGCCGACAUUGUGCCCAUCUGAUGAGGUGUUUGGGUGCCGGACACUAAACCUAGCAUCAAGCCAGCGGUGGUGCAUGAUGAGCUGCUCAGCUGGGACAGUGUUCUGCUGAUCCCAGAAUCCAGCCUGGGACUGAUGGGAGCCAGCAGCAGGCACCGUGUGGGAACAACAAAAUCACUCGGUUACUGAAAGCAGCCCCAGAGCAGGCUCUGGGCCACGGGUCCAGCUGUUCGAUGCCCCUCCCAGGAACAGCCGGCAGUGGAGCAGGCAGCAGAAGGGAUCAGAAGCCGCCCCUGAGCCUGGCUCCUCGCUCUCUACUGGCUACAGCACUUGCACAGCAGAAGCCUGGGCCAACACACCUGCAUGGACUGUUCCAGGAGGAAUUGUUUCCGUGAUGAACUUCUGGCUGAAGUUCUGGAGAGGGCCAACGAGCAGGCCCAGUACCAAAGACAGAGGGACGUGCAGCUAGAGAAAAGGCAGGCUGCAAGGCAAGAGGAAAGGCCCAGGCCGGCUGCACAGCUUGAGGAUGGGGUUUCAGCACAGGAGCAGUUACUUGCUUUGCAGUUCCCGGAACAGGAACGGCAGCUAAGGGAGGACAGAGCUCAGCAGAAAGAGCCCUUUGAGUGGCUCAGAUCACUAAUGACUGCAAGAGUGGAGGCUCCUGCUGCAUCACCCAGACCACAACCUGAGUUCCUUGUGCGCUACCCUGAGCCACAGUCCAGAAGCAGCUUGGAAGACUCCAUGGUUGGGUGGCCCAUGGAGUUAGGUCCCAUGAGUGGCUGGCCAGGGCAACCUUGCCCCAUGCAGCCCUUCAUAUUGACCCCUUUCCACAGUGCCAUGUGCACAGGGAAUGAAGGGAGAGGAGACUGGGGGGCCGGGGCCAUGCCUUGGUAGGGGUUUUCUGUCUUGUCCAGGGUUCCACUGUUUGCACUUGUUCAUGCACUCUGUUUUUCUGUAAGGGUCUGAUGUUACUGGGGUUUAGGUCUGGUAAUGGCAGCUGUCCUGCCUGGCAAUGGGUGAAUGUUGUAAUUCCUUAUGUUUACAAAUAAAAACUUCUUUAUUUUAUCUGGAAA
Molecule: long non-coding RNA, 1427 nt
Organism: Mauremys reevesii (Reeves's turtle)
Lineage: Eukaryota; Metazoa; Chordata; Testudines; Geoemydidae
Exons: 2
Source: RefSeq, a predicted model, not a curated record